GAUGAACGCUGGCGGCGUGCCUAAUACAUGCAAGUCGAGCGAACGGACGAGAAGCUUGCUUCUCUGAUGUUAGCGGCGGACGGGUGAGUAACACGUGGAUAACCUACCUAUAAGACUGGGAUAACUUCGGGAAACCGGAGCUAGUACCGGAUAAUAUUUUGAACCGCAUGGUUCAAAAGUGAAAGACGGUCUUGCUGUCACUUAUAGAUGGAUCCGCGCUGCAUUAGCUAGUUGGUAAGGUAACGGCUUACCAAGGCAACGAUGCAUAGCCGACCUGAGGGGGUGAUCGGCCACACUGGAACUGAGACACGGUCCAGACUCCUACGGGAGGCAGCAGUAGGGAAUCUUCCGCAAUGGGCGAAAGCCUGACGGAGCAACGCCGCGUGAGUGAUGAAGGUCUUCGGAUCGUAAAACUCUGUUAUUAGGGAAGAACAUAUGUGUAAGUAACUGUGCACAUCUUGACGGUACCUAAUCAGAAAGCCACGGCUAACUACGUGCCAGCAGCCGCGGUAAUACGUAGGUGGCAAGCGUUAUCCGGAAUUAUUGGGCGUAAAGCGCGCGUAGGCGGUUUUUUAAGUCUGAUGUGAAAGCCCACGGCUCAACCGUGGAGGGUCAUUGGAAACUGGAAAACUUGAGUGCAGAAGAGGAAAGUGGAAUUCCAUGUGUAGCGGUGAAAUGCGCAGAGAUAUGGAGGAACACCAGUGGCGAAGGCGACUUUCUGGUCUGUAACUGACGCUGAUGUGCGAAAGCGUGGGGAUCAAACAGGAUUAGAUACCCUGGUAGUCCACGCCGUAAACGAUGAGUGCUAAGUGUUAGGGGGUUUCCGCCCCUUAGUGCUGCAGCUAACGCAUUAAGCACUCCGCCUGGGGAGUACGACCGCAAGGUUGAAACUCAAAGGAAUUGACGGGGACCCGCACAAGCGGUGGAGCAUGUGGUUUAAUUCGAAGCAACGCGAAGAACCUUACCAAAUCUUGACAUCCUUUGACAACUCUAGAGAUAGAGCUUUCCCCUUCGGGGGACAAAGUGACAGGUGGUGCAUGGUUGUCGUCAGCUCGUGUCGUGAGAUGUUGGGUUAAGUCCCGCAACGAGCGCAACCCUUAAGCUUAGUUGCCAUCAUUAAGUUGGGCACUCUAAGUUGACUGCCGGUGACAAACCGGAGGAAGGUGGGGAUGACGUCAAAUCAUCAUGCCCCUUAUGAUUUGGGCUACACACGUGCUACAAUGGACAAUACAAAGGGCAGCGAAACCGCGAGGUCAAGCAAAUCCCAUAAAGUUGUUCUCAGUUCGGAUUGUAGUCUGCAACUCGACUACAUGAAGCUGGAAUCGCUAGUAAUCGUAGAUCAGCAUGCUACGGUGAAUACGUUCCCGGGUCU
This 1372-nucleotide ribosomal RNA is filed under the name uncultured bacterium. RNAcentral's name for it is "bacterial SSU rRNA". It matches the Rfam family "Bacterial small subunit ribosomal RNA", at positions 28 to 1381 of the family's 1533-position model. The record is from RNAcentral.